Oncorhynchus nerka (sockeye salmon) is the source of this 1927-nucleotide long non-coding RNA. RefSeq lists it as uncharacterized. Lineage: Eukaryota; Metazoa; Chordata; Actinopteri; Salmoniformes; Salmonidae. The transcript is spliced from 4 exons. The record is from RefSeq and is a predicted model, not a curated record.
GACACCAUUAUGUUAAUGUUAGCUGGGGGUGGGUAUAAUUUCUGGAACGUUCCAACAGGAAUCCGUUGUCAACGGACAACGCAUACAAAGUUGUAUAGCGGCAGUGUAAAAUAUCAGGUAGACAGCGGGCAAUUUUGUUGAGUUUUUCACUCACCACGUUUAUUCCGAAAAAUGUCUGUCCUCACUCUGGUAGCCUGUGGACAAACAAUAAUAAGCUACGUGUUUCACCACGCUCUCCACCGGGGUCAGUGUCGCACCAGACGGCGGGCAUCAUCGGUCCCGGGAAUCUUCCAUUUCACCCCUGCCUUUACACAGGAACAGUGGGUUAACGGCCUUGUUCAGGGGCAGAACGACAGAUUUGUACCUUGUCAGCUCAGGAUUCGAUCUUGCAACCUUUCGGUAACUAGUCCAAUGAGGUAAGAGUUUUCAUGAAGUGCUUUAAGAGGCUAGUUAGGGAUCAUAUCAUCUCCACCUUACCCAACACCCUAGACCAGUGGGGUGGGGGGAUACAUUUGGGGAUAGAAAAAUGCAUUUUGUGUAAACUUAAACCACUAAAACCGAUUUUUAAAAUAUAUAUAUAUUUUGUAAUAUAAUGGACAUUUUCCAAUAACAGCCCAUCAUUUUUCAGAAUUGACAAUCAACACAGUAAAAGCUAGACAAUAAGGCCCCCAUUGAUUUUGUUAAAAGGUUUGAGAAUAACACAGCAUUCGACAUGUCAAAAUGCGUAGAAAACUGCCAAAUGUUCUCUACCUCAAGGCAAAAUGUAUAGAAUUGCAGAAAAUUGGCUUUAACAUUUUUAAACUUUAUUUCAGCUCCAUGGCAGGAUGUGUGGAAUUUCAGGAGACUAGCUUUGAAACUGCAAAAAUGUCUCUUCGCUGCCAAGAUAACUUUUUUUACUUAUUCUUUGGUCUGAAUGUUUUUUCACCACUCAACCCUUAUGGUGGGUCGUGACUCAAAAUACCCCUCCCCUACACUAAUUACAAUUUGCAUACCGCCCCAAAAGAUCCAUGGAUAAUGCGAUCGCCAUCGCACUGCACACUGCCCUGUCCCAUCUGGACAAGAAGAAUACCUGUGUAAGAAUGCUGUUCAUUGGCUACAGCUCAGGCUUCUACGCCAUAAUGCCCUCCAAGCUCAUCACUAAGCUUGGGGCUCUUUGUCUGAAACCCGCCCUGUGCAACUGGGUCCUGGACUUGCUGACCCCAUAUGGUGAAGAGGGAGAGAGCCCACCGUCAAUUCAUGAAUCUCCCGGUCACGGUCGGCACGGGUAUCGAACCAGCAUCUGUAGCAACGUCACUGAGAGUGAGUGUCUUAGACCGCAGCGCCACUCGGGAGGUCCCAUCCACAAAUGUUUAAUGCUGAUCAAUUGCCUUGCACAAAGUAUCUAUUGUCCUGCUAAUAGCCCAUAAUGGCGCUGUAAAUCGUGACUGGUCAGGAGUAGGCUACAGUACUACAGUAAGAGCAAAAUAAUCCUAACAUUUCCACACCCUAAUUGUAGUCUAACCAAUACCCAAAUGGAGAUUUAGUGAAAAUAAUAAUCUAAUUGAUUUAUCAAGACCAGACCCCAUGCUUGUCUCCCCAUGCUUGUCUCCCCAUGCUUGUCUCCCCAUGCUUGACCUCUGAAUGCGGAGUAUUUUCCAGUAGGCAACAAUGUGUUUACCUUCAUUAGCCUACUUUGUUCCAUUAUUUCUGUCAUUCAGUGAUAUUUAUUCCCAUAGUAAUUUGUUAUGAAUUUCUAAGGAAAUUAACAUCUGCAUUUUGAAAGAGUAUUUUUAUAAUGAUUUAUUAACUAAAGCACAAAUAUGUUGAUGAAGAAAUAUAGUACUGUACAGGAAAUGCUUUAUCCAACAUUUUUGCGGUUGCAUGAGGUCGCCUGCACACACUUUAAACAUUUGGAUAAUAAAGCAUUUAAAGCAUUUUGAAGAUAGAA